GAAAAAAUGUUGUAUGUGCACAGUAAGAAGUUGGUCAUUGUCUCAGGGCUCUUGAAUUCAGGGCCUGAAAGUGUGAUUAGAAUCAGGAAAAAUCCAAGAAUUUGUGCAGAAAUUGUAGUGAGAAAUGCACGUAGAUUCCACUAUUUAAAGGAUAAAGCGUGCUCUUGCGGAAAUUAUUCGUGAAAGGUUUCCUUAGACCAAUGGAUCAUCAAAUAUGGACAAAUUGUGAACCAAGAAUGGAUGGUCUUUUAGAUGAGCACGAGUUUUAAGUUGAUAGUACUUUCUUGUACAAGUUAUAUUCGCUUUUUGAACGUUAGCUGGUUGGUAUUUCUCCAUGACUAGAUGUUGAAGAUUGUGAUGCGCAGAUACUACAUUUCGUCUCAUCAAAAUCUGGUCCAUGUGGGCCCAAUUCAAAGUAAUUUGGCAUCCAAAACGAUGGAAAGUUGGGAUCUGAGUGUAGGCCCACUGGAUACUGUCACAAUUUGAAAGGUUUCAUCUGGUAAAUGGUGUAUUUUACUGGAGAAUUCACAUUUGGGCUGAUUGGUUCCUUAGCCGCGUCAAUUUCUAUAUUUAUAACGAAAUUUGAGGGUGGAUAAUCAGAAUCCAUAUCAAGCUGAGAAUCCAUGGAUUCAAAGUCUUUGGAUCUCAAAGUCAUGUAUUGCAAAGAUCUGAAAGCAUUCAAUUUCUUCCAGAAACUCCUGGUGUACGUUCUUGUUUCGCUUGAGAGCGAUGAUCCUGACAAGAAAUUAAAGCAGAACCAGCAACAAAGGACGCCAACAGAUGCAGAAGGAGAUGGGAAUCCUGAGUGGAAUCACGAGAUGCAUUUUGAUCUGAGUGAGGUUUCUGUCGUGGAUUGUGAGCAUCUCUUUAUUCAUUUUGAUCUAUACCAUGAAGGGCUUUAUUUUGGAGACAAAACUAUUGGGGAAGUUCGUGUGCCCUUGAAGGAUUUGAUCGAAGAGAGUCGUGGAAUCGUCAGGUUUGUGAAUUAUCAGGUCCGUACUCCAGAUGGGAAGCCCAAUGGAUUACUGAAUUUCUCCUAUACGGUACAUGCCAAGGCUGAGGAUAUGGGGAUUCAUUUCCUCACGAGUGAGAUCAGUGGUUACUCGGCAGUGGUUCAUCAUCAGUCCCCUGAGAUUCAAUACCCCACAUCAGAAGUUGAGAGCUCAUCUCCUGGAAUUCACUAUCCAUCUCUAGAAUUGGAAGAUAGCCCCCUAGAAACUUACCUUGCUGCUCACAUCUAUCCAUCUCAUGGAAUCCAGUAUUCCUCGCAUUAUACCCCUGCUCCUCAUGCCUAUUACCCAUCAUCAAUGCUGCCGCCACCUCCGCCGCCACCUCCGCCGCCGCCGCCACCUCCACUGCUGAACCAACCAGCACCACCACAUCCAAAUCCACAUGGGGCAUGUUACCACCCUCCUUAUCCUCCAGGGUUCCGCCCUUGGGAGCCCAAUGGGGUUUAUGACCAUAGUGUGCACAGUAACUGCAGAUCAACAGGCAGACAAAGACCACAAUUUUGGCAAUGGUGAACCGUGGAGAAAUGACUUGGCAGCUUAUUGGAAUGGAAGGUGAGGACCUCUAGGGCAAAAUCAUGUGUAUUGUUUAAGAUUUGAAUGGUGGUUAUGAUGUUGCUAUACCUAUAUCUGAAACAUAAUUUGUCAUUUAUUUGGCUUUUUAUCCAUCACUUUGUACCAAAUUUUGUCCAUUCAACAGAGUAAGAUAGGUGCACCAUGGAAAUAUUUGCUUAAAUAUGAAGACUCUAAUGAUCAAAUUUUGGCCGAAUCCGACUUGAUUCAGUGGUUAAAGG
RNAcentral lists this unclassified non-coding RNA (1801 nucleotides) under Hevea brasiliensis (rubber tree). The record is from RNAcentral. Lineage: Eukaryota; Viridiplantae; Streptophyta; Magnoliopsida; Malpighiales; Euphorbiaceae.